GUCCUACACUGCUAGUUUACAAUACUCCUGCUGUACUUGCAAAUAACUUUGGAUGGAAAUCUGUUAAGUUUGUGUGUGUUGUUUGAACAGUCUGGCUGAGGUGUGUAUGUCGAGUGCCCUCUGCACCUGCUUGGAAGUAGCAAAAUAAAUAAUGUAUUAUUAAACUGGUGUUAAAUCAGACUAAUUGGAAGUAUUAAGGUACAAUAGGAAACAUUAAGACUUCAAAGUCAUCCCUGACAAGCAGACAUCUUUAAAAUAUCUACACUGUAGUAUUUCCCUACCUGGAUCAGUUAUCCACAGCCUCUCCAGCAGCAUCACUUACAAAAUAUUCUCUGAAUUACUAGAAAGCAAAUUACAUCAAAGAAGUGUACAAACAAAUAAAAGAUUACAGGCUGUGUACAUGUUCAGUCUAAUGCCCUUUCAACAAGUAAUGCACCACACAAUGCCUUUCUCUCCCCAAGCUAAAUGUGGAUUUCUCCCUAAAUACUAUCCCCUGCUGGUCAGCCAUGUUCUCCUCCAGGAGCUGUGAACAGUGAAUCAGCGGCACCCAGGUAAUGACAGUGUUCCAUGCCACUGCCUUGUCUCCUUAACUGGUAUUAGUUAGGCUUUGGAGUUCAAGUGGCUACAGGUUUUAGAUGCAGAUUUUCAAAAAGGGAAGAAAGAGAGUCUGGCUGUUGUUCUUGAAAAGCUGUGUUUAUCCAGGAUUAGAGACAGCAACAUGUUAAUAAUUGUUUCUCACAGAACUCCAAAGAAGUACUUUCCUGUAAUCCCCUAAUCAGGCAUUACACCUCUGAGCGAAGCCACAACGCAGGCGCAUGCUGGCUGUGACGCAGCACACCCGCACUGUAUUUAACACCACAUCACACCCGCGCUGUAUAAAACACCACAUCACACCCGCGCUGUAUAAAACACCACAUCACACCGGGCACUGUAUAAAACACCACAUCACACCGGCACUGUAUAAAACACCACAUCACACCGGCACUCUAUAAAACACCACAUCACACCGGC
Oncorhynchus tshawytscha (Chinook salmon) is the source of this 1011-nucleotide long non-coding RNA. Lineage: Eukaryota; Metazoa; Chordata; Actinopteri; Salmoniformes; Salmonidae. The record is from Ensembl.